This 500-nucleotide ribosomal RNA is filed under the name uncultured bacterium. Its description in RNAcentral is "partial 16S ribosomal RNA". It matches the Rfam family "Bacterial small subunit ribosomal RNA", at positions 30 to 523 of the family's 1533-position model. The record is from RNAcentral.
AUUGAACGCUGGCGGCAUGCCUUACACAUGCAAGUCGAACGGCAGCACGGGAGCAAUCCUGGUGGCGAGUGGCGAACGGGUGAGUAAAGUAUCGGAACGUGCCCAGUCGUGGGGGAUAACGUAGCGAAAGUUACGCUAAUACCGCAUACGAUCUAUGGAUGAAAGCGGGGGAUCGCAAGACCUCGCGCGAUUGGAGCGGCCGAUAUCAGAUUAGGUAGUUGGGGGGGUAAAGGCUCACCAAGCCGACGAUCUGUAGCUGGUCUGAGAGGACGACCAGCCACACUGGGACUGAGACACGGCCCAGACUCCUACGGGAGGCAGCAGUGGGGAAUUUUGGACAAUGGGCGAAAGCCUGAUCCAGCCAUGCCGCGUGCAGGAUGAAGGCCUUCGGGUUGUAAACUGCUCUUGUACGGAACGAAAAGGUUUGGCCUAAUAAGCUGAGCUCAUGACGGUACCGUAAGAAUAAGCACCGGCUAACUACGUGCCAGCCGCCACGGUAA